This 93-nucleotide ribosomal RNA is filed under the name Thysananthus anguiformis. Its description in RNAcentral is "5.8S ribosomal RNA". The record is from RNAcentral. Lineage: Eukaryota; Viridiplantae; Streptophyta; Jungermanniopsida; Porellales; Lejeuneaceae.
AUGCCCGCCUGAGCGUCCGCUCUGACCCACCCACCCAUCCUCUUCUGAGGACGAGUGCGAGUGGAACUGGUCGUCCGGGAACCGGAUCGCCUU